UACGGAGGAUCCAAGCGUUAUCCGGAAUCAUUGGGUUUAAAGGGUCCGUAGGCGGACGGCUAAGUCAGUGGUGAAAUUCUGCAGCUCAACUGUAGAACUGCCAUUGAUACUGGCCGUCUUGAAUUAGUGUGAAGUGGCUAGAAUAUGUAGUGUAGCGGUGAAAUGCUUAGAUAUUACAUAGAAUACCGAUUGCGAAGGCAGGUCACUAACACUAUAUUGACGCUGAUGGACGAAAGCGUGGGGAGCGAACAGG
This 253-nucleotide ribosomal RNA is filed under the name uncultured bacterium. RNAcentral describes it as "partial 16S ribosomal RNA". It matches the Rfam family "Bacterial small subunit ribosomal RNA", at positions 524 to 776 of the family's 1533-position model. The record is from RNAcentral.